This is a long non-coding RNA of Panicum virgatum (switchgrass), 913 nucleotides long. RefSeq lists it as uncharacterized. NCBI's taxonomy places the organism in Eukaryota, Viridiplantae, Streptophyta, Magnoliopsida, Poales, Poaceae. The record is from RefSeq and is a predicted model, not a curated record. The transcript has 3 exons.
UAGGCUAGCAUCAUUUGUUAGGCUCCCCACAUCUAAAACUAAGUACAAGCUUUUAGACUUCCCCACGUUGUUUGACAAUAGCAGCUUCACCACUGUAAAAAUCAGCUGAGUUUUGCUGUUCUCGAACUUGCAUAAUGCCAUGUACAUAGGUAAGUCAAAUUGAUCAACCAAUCCAGCAUGGGCUCUGUGAUUUUUUUUUUGUAGUUAGAACUGUGUUUUGGCUACAUUUUAGUAGUGGUUUGUUGGGGAUAGAAAGGGAGGUAGGGGAUAUCAGGUUUUUUUUGUUGCUGUCUGAAAUUGUUUGCACUUAUAAACUGUGUUUUUUUACCAGAGGUAUCCAACCUUGCUGAUAUUUUAGUCCUAAUGCUAACUGCACAUGCUAUUUGUUUCAGUCACACAAACCAUUGUUUAGGAUCUUAAAUGUUGGGAUGACUCCAGGGACUGACCCUUCCUUGACAACAGCUUCCGCUGCUCCGAGAACGGCCGCCGCGACGCGUCCUACACCAAAUGGCGCCGACGCGCUGCGAUUUCCUGAGCCACACAAAAUGGUGUUUAGGAGCUAAAACUUGAUGUGCCUUUUUUCGGCCUGCAAGUUUUCUCGGCGAAUUGGCACUAUAACAUGCUCUUCAGCUAGCUUGGUGUUUAGUGGCCUGGAAGUUCAUCAGAUUAUCGUCAUCGGCGGCAGUUUAGUUGCAGCUCAAUCUCGAUGUUGAUUCAUGAGCAGUUUGGUAGUAGUUGUAGUAGGCUAGUAACUCUAAUUUUUUGUUCCGUACAACAGUGGAGGCAAUAUGCUUGUAGUUUUGAAAUUUUGUUAACGUUUAAAAUUUAGAUGGGUGAAAAUGCAUGUGUAUAUGUUCUAAAUUGCUUACUGAUUUUCAAAGAUGUGCUUAUGGGAUGUAAACAAUUUCUUUUU